GUUGAUGGUGGCGAAAAACUCAUAACAUCCCAAGGGGACUGAUUCAACUGGCAAACAUGGGUUUGAAGCACGGUUCCAGGUUUCAAUGAAGAUGCUGCAUAUGUCAAUGAACAAAUUUUGGCGUGCUUCCGUAUUCUCAUGGAGGUUCUGUGGUUUUUUGGGGGAGUUUUUUAGUGGGUAGUCGGGGCAGAAACUCACAAGGGUAGAGAAGCUUUGUUGGGGGGCGCGAGGGGGGUGUGU
RNAcentral lists this long non-coding RNA (240 nucleotides) under Olea europaea subsp. europaea. The record is from RNAcentral. Lineage: Eukaryota; Viridiplantae; Streptophyta; Magnoliopsida; Lamiales; Oleaceae.